Long non-coding RNA from Monopterus albus (swamp eel), 439 nucleotides. RefSeq lists it as uncharacterized. The transcript has 3 exons. The record is from RefSeq and is a predicted model, not a curated record. Lineage: Eukaryota; Metazoa; Chordata; Actinopteri; Synbranchiformes; Synbranchidae.
GCGAUGGCAAUGAGGAUCGAACCUUCGAAAGCAGAGCCCGUUAGCCUAAUGUUGCCUACGGAGAGGAGCUGAACUAAGUUAAACUCUUCAACUGUGAACAAGUGCUGAUUUGUUGAUAAGUGAACUACUUGAUUUCAGAAAACAUCUGUGAUAAACUGCUCACAUCUUGAAGCGUGAAAGCAACUUUAGUGGAGAAACCAUGGCCCCCUCUGCUUUACUCGGUGAUGAUUAGCAGCAGCACAGCAGGUUAAAGGGGCUGGUGAGGGGGCAGACAGCGUCCUCUGGUGGGUGUUCUGAAAUUAAACACUACAAGGAACUGGGGGAAAAAACAGCAGAGGGAGAGGAUGAGAGUUUUCAGAUUCCUGUAGCUCAUACAGACGUCUCCUCAGCAAAAUCCAAAAAAGAACUGGACAGUGCCAUCACUGGAAGGACAACUGAC